CCUCCAGCUGAGGAUGCCGGAGGCUUCUAGAAGCUGGAAAAAGCAAGGAAACCGAUGCUCCCCCAGAACCUCCACGAGGAACCCUGGUCACGCCUUGAGUUUAGCCCGUGACACCCAUCUCUGACCCACAGGGCCGUAAGACGGUACAUUGUGCUGUUUGAAGCCACCAAGUCCACGGUGAUUUAGUACGGCAGCGAUAGGACACAGCACAGAUGGACGGAGGGACGUGGGACGGACAGACGUCCAACCAGGGCCUCUGCACCUGGGAAGGCGUCCUGGCAGGUGGAGAAGUCAGAGACCCCCGGCAGCCGAGCCAACACCACAGGCCCUGCGAGCCUCCUUCCGCCCACCUCGACGCAGCACACGGCUCGCGCACGCCUGCAUGCACGCGCUUACCCACACCACGCGGACGAGGGGCUCCACCCGGCUCGGCCGGCCUCGAACUGCCGACCUCGGCCAGGUCCCUGCCCCCCCCCCCCCCCCCGUGGGCUGCGGGAGCUCGGGCCUUUGGAGGUGGGGUGGGGGGUGGGGACAUCGGGUCAUCGCGGGGAAGGGGAGCCGCGGCCGGGUGUGAGGGGGCGUCCGCCCUGGCCCUCACUCAUGUUUCUGACCACGAGGCUUCCUCCCCCGCGCCCCUCUGGGGAGGGACUGUAAUUAACUUCUUCCUGUUCAGAUCAGGAGUCUGUUUCCAAAAACAUAUUUCGAAGGAUUAUUUUGCAAA
This is a long non-coding RNA of Felis catus (domestic cat), 721 nucleotides long. RefSeq lists it as uncharacterized. The transcript is spliced from 2 exons. Lineage: Eukaryota; Metazoa; Chordata; Mammalia; Carnivora; Felidae. The record is from RefSeq and is a predicted model, not a curated record.